RNAcentral lists this ribosomal RNA (473 nucleotides) under uncultured bacterium. Its description in RNAcentral is "partial 16S ribosomal RNA". It matches the Rfam family "Bacterial small subunit ribosomal RNA", at positions 355 to 821 of the family's 1533-position model. The record is from RNAcentral.
UAGGGAAUCUUCCACAAUGGACGCAAGUCUGAUGGAGCAACGCCGCGUGAGUGAAGAAGGUUUUCGGACCGUAAAGCUCUGUUGUUGGUGAAGAAGGAUAGAGGUAGUAACUGGCCUUUAUUUGACGGUAAUCAACCAGAAAGUCACGGCUAACUACGUGCCAGCAGCCGCGGUAAUACGUAGGUGGCAAGCGUUGUCCGGAUUUAUUGGGCGUAAAGCGAGCGCAGGCGGAAGAAUAAGUCUGAUGUGAAAGCCCUCGGCUUAACCGAGGAAUUGCAUCGGAAACUGUUUUCUUGAGUGCAGAAGAGGAGAGUAGAACUCCAUGUGUAGCGGUGGAAUGCGUAGAUAUAUGGAAGAAUACCAGUGGCGAAGGCGGCUCUCUGGUCUGCAACUGACGCUGAGGCUCGAAAGCAUGGGUAGCGAACAGGAUUAGAUACCCUGGUAGUCCAUGCCGUAAACGAUGAGUGCUAAGU